UGGGGUGUAACUCAGUGGUAGAGACCUUGCCUAGCAUACUCAAGGCCCUGGCUUCCAUUCCCAGCACUGCAA
RNAcentral lists this transfer RNA (72 nucleotides) under Marmota monax (woodchuck). RNAcentral's name for it is "tRNA.Ala". Lineage: Eukaryota; Metazoa; Chordata; Mammalia; Rodentia; Sciuridae. The record is from RNAcentral.